This 1242-nucleotide long non-coding RNA is filed under the name Hordeum vulgare. Its description in RNAcentral is "long non-coding RNA (HVUL_LNC014321)". The record is from RNAcentral. Lineage: Eukaryota; Viridiplantae; Streptophyta; Magnoliopsida; Poales; Poaceae.
UUUCAUUCAAUCUUGUUUUACUCUAAGACGUUAUCAGCACUUUGCCCUAACCUAGAGCGAUUAGGCACCAGGAACGAGAAGAAAGGAGGCCAUCCCUUGACUCGACGGAGACGGCCACCGGCCGGUGCGUAACAUGGCCAUCCCGCCCACGAGCAUCAAGGCGUGGCCUCGAUGAGUAGCACAAGUGUGUCGUCUGUGGCCUUUGCGCUGGAUGGAGAUGGCGGGCAAGGCUUGGUGCCCCAGCAUGCGCGGAGGCGUUGCGUUGAAUCCCGCUGGCACACGCACUCCGUGGACCUCGACUGUGCCCCAGCGGCGCCACCCCCGUAGAGUGGCAGCGCCCUCAAGCGCGCACCCGGCAAGCGCGGCGCACCAGCGUCCUCUCGCACUCCCGGCAGCAUGGACUCGUACAACAGGGCCCUCCCGUCGGCAGCGGACAGCGCCGCCGUGGCCAGGCGGCCCUCGCUUUCGCUGACCAUCCUUGACGGAUGUGUGGUGCUAAGCAUCCGGUGAGUGUGGCCAUCCAGCGGGAGAUUUCAAUUCUUGAUCUAAUUGCUACAUACAAUAAUCGGAGUCAACAAGCAACCCAAGCAAAUAUUAAAGUCUUGAUCUAAUUGCUACAUAAAAGAAUCAAGCGAUUGCUUCUUUUUAUUUUUCUUCACGCACGCAGCAGUGGGGAAACAAACAACAGCAUCUUCCUUGGCAACGCCCGCGAUGAGGCGGUAGUGAUGCCGGAAUUGCUCCAGGCCUGCGCCCCGCACGGUCCGCCUGGCCGCGCUCCGCUCGGGCACCCAUCGCCGGGUCCCUGCGCCAGGCCGUGGUUGUCCUCACCCGCGCCCUGGCCAGCAGCACGCCCUUACGCGUGACCGACCUGCGCCAGGACUCGCCCGGCCGUGCCGCGCCCGCCGCCGGAUCCCUCACGCACCGACGUCCCUGCCACCGGGUCCCCUUCCCCGAAGAGGCCCCUACCACGCGCGGCGCUCGCGCCCAUGGUACACAGCGGCGUGGCGAGCUCCUCCCAGCGGCUGCAUAGACAAAUUCCCCAUGGUGAAUUUGGGGUAUGUAACCGCACGGGAGUGGAGAAGAGAGAUAGAAAUCUUAUCUCUUCGCAAGUUUUACAGUUUAGCCCUUGCGGCUUUACCUAUUUUUAAAUAGGCCAAAACUUGUUUUAAUUGUGAUUUUGCAGUUGUUCUAGUAGUGAUUUCACCCUGUUUUAGACCUGUUAAAUACAAUACUGAUUUGCGA